UACGAAGGGUGCAAGCGUUGUUCGGAUUUAUUGGGCGUAAAGCGCGCGUAGGCGGACCUGCAAGUCAGAUGUGAAAUCUCGGGGCUCAACCUCGAAACUGCGUCUGAAACUACAGGUCUAGAAUCUUGGAGGGGGAAGGGGAAUUUCGCAUGUAGGGGUAAAAUCCGUAGAUAUGCGAAGGAACACCAGGGGCGAAGGCGCCUUUCUGGACAAGUAUUGACGCUGAGGCGCGAAAGCGUGGGGAUCAAACAGG
Molecule: ribosomal RNA, 253 nt
Filed under: uncultured bacterium
Lineage: Bacteria
Description: partial 16S ribosomal RNA
Rfam family: Bacterial small subunit ribosomal RNA
Source: RNAcentral